RNAcentral lists this ribosomal RNA (324 nucleotides) under uncultured eukaryote. RNAcentral's name for it is "partial 18S ribosomal RNA". It matches the Rfam family "Eukaryotic small subunit ribosomal RNA", at positions 1470 to 1796 of the family's 1831-position model. The record is from RNAcentral.
CCCUUAGAUGUUCUGGGCUGCACGCGCGCUACACUGAAGCGUUCAACGAGUAUUCACCUUGCCCGGGAGGGUUGGGUAAUCUUUUGAAAACGCUUCGUGAUGGGGAUAGAUUAUUGCAAUUAUUAAUCUUCAACGAGGAAUUCCUAGUAAACGCAGUUCAUCAAACUGCAUUGAUUGCGUCCCUGCCCUUUGUACACACCGCCCGUCGCACCUACCGAUUGGAUGGUCCGGUGAAGCCUCGGGAUUGUGGCGGUUGCCUUUAUUGGUGGCCGCCGCGAGAACUUGUCUAAACCUUAUCAUCUAGAGGAAGGUGAAGUCGUAACA